Molecule: long non-coding RNA, 1450 nt
Filed under: Homo sapiens (human)
Lineage: Eukaryota; Metazoa; Chordata; Mammalia; Primates; Hominidae
Description: long intergenic non-protein coding RNA 339
Source: RNAcentral
GGGAGUGGUGGUCUCCCUUUCCUGGAGUCAUUUGUGGGAGUUAGGGUCUUAUCCUGAUCUUUCCUCGUCCCCCGCUCCCCCGUCCUCCGAGGUGGCAGCUGCGUAGGUGAACGUUCCCCCUGUCCCCUUCCUUCUCCUUCCUAACCCGAGUACGCUUGCUCGCGGCCACAGUGGCUGCCUGCCCCAGGAGCGGGGAGUCCCUGCCUUUGGGGUAGGGAAAUGACUGAAAUGUGGGACCUGCGGGCUCCUCGGGCUGACUUGGACCUCACUGCAGCUCUGGAGGUGGACCUCGUCCUGGGACCCUAGAAGCCCAUUUCCGCACUCGGGCUAGGCCUUCGGAGCCGCGGCAGCAUAGUGGGAGGAGUCGGGCUCAGCUCCCCCCCACCACAACCGGGAUUAUUUUUAUCGGUUGAGUCAUCGCACUACCUUUCAUCCUUGUGGCUUUGGGCAAGUCCCCGCCCUCCGAGCCUCACUUUGCUUAUCUGUGAAUGGAAAUAACAGUGCCUACCCCAUGGGCUAUCGGGAGGAUCAGUUGUGAGGGAAUGCAGUGUGGGGUGUCUGGCCGGCAGAAUUCCACAAAUGGUAGCAGCGGUUGAUGUCACUGGAGGUUCCUGGGGCAGUAAUUUAUCAAGAGUUUAUGAUCCUGAACUAAGGAUCAUACGGAGGAGGAUCUGUGUAUAACGUUCGGCACAAUGUUAGAUAGGAAGUAAGGGCGCAGUGCACUGGAGUUAUUUUUUCUUUUUUUUUUUUUUGAGACGGAGUCUCGCUCUGUCGCCCAGGCCGGAGUUGCAGUGCCGCGUUGUCGCCUCACUGCAACCUUCUCUGCCACAUGGGUUCAAGCGAUUCUCCUGCCUCAGCCACUCGAGUAACUGGGAUUACAGUCGCACAUCACCACGCCUGGCUAAUGUUUUGCAUUUUUAAUAGAGACGGUUUCACCAUGUUGGCCAGCCUGGUCUUGAACUCCUGAUCUCAGGUGAUCCACCCGCCUCGGCCUUCCAAAGUGCUAGAAGUAUAGGCAUGAGCCACUGUGCCUGGCCUGGAGUUAUUUUUUCUCACUGGGUUUUUGAGCAAAGAAAAGGAGUUAUUAACUGGUGAGGAUAAAUUUGUGUUUGAAGUCUGGAACGUUUUUUCUUAGAGUUCCAGAAUUGAGACUGAAGUGUACCCAGAGACACAAAGAAAUACAGAAGUCCAGAAUGAUCAAAUGAGAUCACUACCCAAUGAAAUGAUGGGCCGAGGAGCCAGAAGUUGUCCUACUACCUGCUUUCCAGGUCCAGAUUCCACGAGAGCCUUCUGGGCUCCCACCAGAGACCCUCAGUGAAGACUCUGUUGAAGACUUUAAGACCAUGCUAGAAAGCCUCCCGGCAGAGGUUCAGGAAGUUCUGCUAUGAGGAUGCAGCUGGCCCCAGGGAUGUCCUCAGGCAUCUCUAGGACCUUGCUGGACGGUGGUGGC